UUUCAUUAUUUGCUAUGAUUGUCUUUUUAUAAUUAAAAACUGUAUUGAUCUUCCUGAGGUUCCAUCUUUGAUUUUGGGUAGGCCUACUCCAACAGAGUUACUUAGUAUGUGGGCUUUUUCUAGUCCUGCUCUUAUCGACCUAAAUUAUCUUAGAAGAUCCUAAUGUGCAGCUUAGUGAUAUAGCCAGGUGUUGGAGUAGGACUGAAACCAAUGCUUUCACAGUAGCUCUCCAAUAGGAUGGCUGGCUACCAUAGAGCUCUUUCUCAAUUUUUCUACCCUUGGCUUCUUGUGUCCUCUUCUCAUCCUUCUCAAAACCAACUACAGAAGAAUGAAUUAGGAGAGGAACAUUGGGUCUCAUUAUCAAAUGGGAUUUUAGGAAGCGAGGAAAACUAUUUUGAUAAAGAACCCUGGUGUACUAGGGUCUGUGUCUGUUGUGUUUUUUUGUUAGAUGAUUGAGGACGUUCUCCAGAGCAAAGCUGGAGGGGAAAGGAUCAUGAACGAGUAUGCUCAGACAAAAAGCUUGAAUUACCGCAACAGACGUGAUAUGAUCAAGAUAUUGGUUGCAAAUAUGACAGAGGAUCAUGGAACAAGUCUCCAACGACAUGGGAAGGAGGAGGCAUAUCGAACAGGAAUAGUUUCCUUGUUCCCCUAUCUGGCUGACCGCAAAAGCAAGACAGACUGAGUACAAAAUAAAUCAGGGCCCCAAUUCACUUUACCUUAGCCCUUUGAUGUUUGCAGAUUUGAAGGGUGUGGAUAGAUGUAAGCAGUGUAGUUGUGGAGCUUUCACCUUAUGGAUCUGAUAGGGUUAUAGGGCCAAGGGGAAAUGGUGACAUUUAAAAAAAUGAUUUAGCUGUUUUAAAGGCACAAUCUGCCGAUAGUGAAACUGCCACAUCAAAUGAUAAACACAGCAUUUUUCAAAUCACUUUUCAAGGUGCAAAGCUGUCUGACAUGGCAAUGUUGCAGUUUAUAUGCUCCUCCUCGGUCACUUGUAAUUGAAGAUAACAUCAAUCAGUCUUUGUGUAUGUGAAGGUGACUGAGGAGCAUUAAACAUUACAGUCCCUGCUACUGUUAAACUUUUCUUCCAGA
This is a long non-coding RNA of Oncorhynchus tshawytscha (Chinook salmon), 1086 nucleotides long. Lineage: Eukaryota; Metazoa; Chordata; Actinopteri; Salmoniformes; Salmonidae. The record is from Ensembl.